Molecule: ribosomal RNA, 468 nt
Filed under: uncultured bacterium
Lineage: Bacteria
Description: partial 16S ribosomal RNA
Rfam family: Bacterial small subunit ribosomal RNA
Source: RNAcentral
GACGAACGCUGGCGGCGUGCUUAACACAUGCAAUUCGAACGGAAAGGCCCUGCUUUUGUGGGGUGCUCGAGUGGCGAACGGGUGAGUAACACGUGAGUAACCUGCCCUUGACUUUGGGAUAACUUCAGGAAACUGGGGCUAAUACCGGAUAGGAGCUCCUGCUGCAUGGUGGGGGUUGGAAAGUUUCGGCGGUUGUGGAUGGACUCGCGGCUUAUCAGCUUGUUUGUGGGGUAGUGGCUUACCAAGGCUUUGACGGGUAGCCGGCCUGAGAGGGUGACCGGCCACAUUGGGACUGAGAUACGGCCCAGACUCCUACGGGAGGCAGCAGUGGGGAAUAUUGCACAAUGGGCGGAAGACUGAUGCAGCAACGCCGCGUGCGGGAUGACGGCCUUCGGGUUGUAAACCGCUUUCGCCGGUGACGAAGCGUGAGUGACGGUAAUGGGUAAAGAAGCACCGGCUAACUACGUG